RNAcentral lists this ribosomal RNA (460 nucleotides) under uncultured bacterium. Its description in RNAcentral is "partial 16S ribosomal RNA". It matches the Rfam family "Bacterial small subunit ribosomal RNA", at positions 338 to 795 of the family's 1533-position model. The record is from RNAcentral.
CCUACGGGAGACAGCAGUGAGGAAUAUUGGUCAAUGGGCGGGAGCCUGAACCAGCCAAGUCGCGUGAGGGAAGACGGUCCUAUGGAUUGUAAACCUCUUUAGGCGGGGAGCAAUGCCGGGCACGCGUGCCCGGAGGGAGAGUACCCGCAGAAUAAGCAUCGGCUAACUCCGUGCCAGCAGCCGCGGUAAUACGGAGGAUGCGAGCGUGAUCCGGAUUUAUGGGGUUUAAAGGGUGCGUAGGCGGAUUUUUAAGUCAGCGGUAAAAUGUCCGGGCUCAACCCGGGCCGGCCGUUGAAACUGGGGAUCUUGAGUGGGCGAGAAGUAUGCGGAAUGCGUGGUGUAGCGGUGAAAUGCAUAGAUAUCACGCAGAACUCCGAUUGCGAAGGCAGCAUACCGGCGCCCGACUGACGCUGAGGCACGAAAGCGUGGGGAUCGAACAGGAUUAGAUACCCCAGUAGUC